RNAcentral lists this ribosomal RNA (506 nucleotides) under uncultured bacterium. RNAcentral's name for it is "partial 16S ribosomal RNA". It matches the Rfam family "Bacterial small subunit ribosomal RNA", at positions 29 to 523 of the family's 1533-position model. The record is from RNAcentral.
AGUGAACGCUGGCGGUAGGCCUAACACAUGCAAGUCGAACGGCAGCACAGGAGAGCUUGCUCUCUGGGUGGCGAGUGGCGGACGGGUGAGGAAUACAUCGGAAUCUACUCUGUCGUGGGGGAUAACGUAGGGAAACUUACGCUAAUACCGCAUACGACCUACGGGUGAAAGCAGGGGACCUUCGGGCCUUGCGCGAUGGAAUGAGCCGAUGUCGGAUUAGCUAGUUGGCGGGGUAAAGGCACACCAAGGCGACGAUCCGUAGCUGGUCUGAGAGGAUGAUCAUCCACACUGGAACUGGGACACGGUCCAGACUCCUACGGGGGGCAGCAGGGGGGAAUAUUGGACAAUGGGCGCAAGCCUGAUCCAGCCAUAACGCGUGGGUGAAGAAGGCCUUCGGGUUGUAAAGCCCUUUUGUUGGGAAAGAAAUCCAGCUGGCUAAUACCCGGUUGGGAUGACGGUACCCAAAGAAUAAGCACCGGCUAACUUCGUGCCAGCAGCCGCAGUAA